CGCUGGCGGCGUGCCUAAUACAUGCAAGUCGAACGGUCUUUUCUAUGGAAGCUUGCUUCCACUGAGAAGAUAGUGGCGGACGGGUGAGUAACACGUGGGUAACCUGCCCAUAAGAGGGGGAUAACAUCCGGAAACGGGUGCUAAUACCGCAUAGUUUUCUUGAUCGCAUGAUUGAGAAAGGAAAGAUGGCCUUUGUGCUGUCGCUUAUGGAUGGACCCGCGGCGUAUUAGUUAGUUGGUGAGGUAACGGCUCACCAAGACGAUGAUACGUAGCCGACCUGAGAGGGUGAUCGGCCACAUUGGGACUGAGACACGGCCCAAACUCCUACGGGAGGCAGCAGUAGGGAAUCUUCCGCAAUGGACGAAAGUCUGACGGAGCAACGCCGCGUGAGUGAAGAAGGUUUUCGGAAUCGUAAGACUCUGUUGUCAGAGAAGAACAAGUUGGAGAGUAACUGCUCCAGCCUUGACGGUAUCUGACCAGAAAGCCACGGCUAACUACGUGCCAGCCGCUGC
Molecule: ribosomal RNA, 512 nt
Filed under: uncultured bacterium
Lineage: Bacteria
Description: bacterial SSU rRNA
Rfam family: Bacterial small subunit ribosomal RNA
Source: RNAcentral